This 367-nucleotide long non-coding RNA is filed under the name Cucumis sativus (cucumber). Its description in RNAcentral is "long non-coding RNA (CSAT_LNC001290)". The record is from RNAcentral. Lineage: Eukaryota; Viridiplantae; Streptophyta; Magnoliopsida; Cucurbitales; Cucurbitaceae.
CCGCAACCAAUGCUUUUCACAAUACUCAAAACGAGUGACAUCCAAAACUAACCCAAAAGACAUAGAAUGGCACAGUGGAGAAAACCCUAUCUCUAUUGAAGGCGUUAAAACCUUUGCGCUUUACCUCUAUCAAGCCAAAAAACUUAUCCUCUCCAAGCCCUCUCAAGAUCUUGACAUAGCUCUUGACCCAUUCGAAUUCGAGCUCAUCACUGUUUCACCAGUGACCAAACUCAUCCAAACUUCUCUACACUUUGCCCCAAUUGGGCUGGUGAACAUGCUUAACACUAGUGGAGCCAUCCAAUCUGUGGACUAUGACGAUGACCUAAGCUCAGUCGAGAUUGGUGUCAAAGGGUGUGGUGAGAUGCGA